GACGAACGCUGGCGGCGUGCUUAACACAUGCAAGUCGAACGAUGAAGCUGGAGCUUGCUCCGGUGGAUUAGUGGCGAACGGGUGAGUAACACGUGAGCAAUCUGCCCUUGACUCUGGGAUAACUGCGGGAAACUGUAGCUAGUACCGGAUACGAGACCUGAAGGCAUCUUCGGGUCUGGAAAGAAUUUCGGUCAAGGAUGAGCUCGCGGCCUAUCAGCUUGUUGGUGAGGUAAUGGCUCACCAAGGCGACGACGGGUAGCCGGCCUGAGAGGGUGACCGGCCACACUGGGACUGAGAUACGGCCCAGACUCCUACGGGAGGCAGCAGUGGGGAAUAUUGCACAAUGGGCGAAAGCCUGAUGCAGCAACGCCGCGUGAGGGAUGAAGGCCCUCGGGUUGUAAACCUCUUUUAGCAGGGAAGAAGCGAAAGUGACGGUACCUGCAGAAAAAGCACCGGCUAACUACGUGCCAGCAGCCGCCGCGG
Molecule: ribosomal RNA, 483 nt
Filed under: uncultured bacterium
Lineage: Bacteria
Description: partial 16S ribosomal RNA
Rfam family: Bacterial small subunit ribosomal RNA
Source: RNAcentral